RNAcentral lists this ribosomal RNA (497 nucleotides) under uncultured bacterium. RNAcentral describes it as "partial 16S ribosomal RNA". It matches the Rfam family "Bacterial small subunit ribosomal RNA", at positions 28 to 507 of the family's 1533-position model. The record is from RNAcentral.
GACGAACGCUGGCGGCGUGCCUAAUACAUGCAAGUUGAACGCUGAAGGUUGGUACUUGUACCAACUGGAUGAGCAGCGAACGGGUGAGUAACGCGUGGGGAAUCUGCCUUUGAGCGGGGGACAACAUUUGGAAACGAAUGCUAAUACCGCAUAAAAACUUUAAACACAAGUUUUAAGUUUGAAAGAUGCAAUUGCAUCACUCAAAGAUGAUCCCGCGUUGUAUUAGCUAGUUGGUGAGGUAAAGGCUCACCAAGGCGAUGAUACAUAGCCGACCUGAGAGGGUGAUCGGCCACAUUGGGACUGAGACACGGCCCAAACUCCUACGGGAGGCAGCAGUAGGGAAUCUUCGGCAAUGGACGAAAGUCUGACCGAGCAACGCCGCGGGAGUGAAGAAGGUUUUCGGAUCGUAAAACUCUGUUGGUAGAGAAGAACGUUGGUGAGAGUGGAAAGCUCAUCAAGUGACGGUAACUACCCAGAAAGGGACGGCUAACUACGUG